RNAcentral lists this transfer-messenger RNA (309 nucleotides) under uncultured Aestuariivirga sp. RNAcentral describes it as "Alphaproteobacteria transfer-messenger RNA". It matches the Rfam family "Alphaproteobacteria transfer-messenger RNA", at positions 50 to 347 of the family's 355-position model. From Rfam's summary of the family: Bacterial tmRNA, also known as 10Sa RNA or SsrA, is named for its dual tRNA and mRNA-like properties. Its role is to liberate the mRNA from a stalled ribosome. The record is from RNAcentral. Lineage: Bacteria; Pseudomonadati; Pseudomonadota; Alphaproteobacteria; Hyphomicrobiales; Aestuariivirgaceae.
UGACUAUGGCGAUAAACGGUAAUCGUAAUAAACCUUUCGGACCCGGGGGCAGUACCCGGCGCCUCCACCACCGACCGCCCGUCCGACCCCUUCCCGGGCGGCCGGUGAUGGGGGCGAAAUAGGAUCGACGAGGGCGUAAAGGGUUGCUUUUUGCUCGUGAUGGUACCGACGUUAUCGGGCUAAACUUAUAGUUGCCAACGACAACUAUGCUCCGGUCGCGGUGGCUGCGUAAGCAGCCUGAGCAACCGAAAUCAAAGUCCUUGGGCUUAGCCGCUUAAGGCGGGGUUCGCCGGCACCUGGCAACAGAAG